Molecule: ribosomal RNA, 376 nt
Filed under: uncultured bacterium
Lineage: Bacteria
Description: bacterial SSU rRNA
Rfam family: Bacterial small subunit ribosomal RNA
Source: RNAcentral
UACAGAGGGUGCGAGCGUUGUUCGGAAUCAUUGGGCGUAAAGCGCUUGUAGGCGGCUUGUUAAGUCGCGUGUGAAAUCCCUUGGCUCAACCAAGGAAGUGCGCGCGAAACUGGCGAGCUCGAGUGCCGGAGAGGGUCGCGGAAUUCCCGGUGUAGAGGUGAAAUUCGUAGAUAUCGGGAGGAACACCAGUGGCGAAGGCGGCGACCUGGACGGACACUGACGCUGAGACGCGAAAGCGUGGGGAGCAAACAGGAUUAGAUACCCUGGUAGUCCACGCUGUAAACGAUGGAUGCUAGCUGUGGCGGGUUUUGACCCCUGCCGUGGCGCAGCUAACGCAAUAAGCAUCCCGCCUGGGAAGUACGGCCGCAAGGCUAAA